AACGCUAGCUACAGGCUUAACACAUGCAAGUCGAGGGGCAGCAUGGUCUUAGCUUGCUAAGACUGAUGGCGACCGGCGCACGGGUGAGUAACGCGUAUCCAACCUGCCUGUUACCACGGCACAGCCCGUCGAAAGGCGGAUUAAUGCCGUAUGUGGUCCUUUGCGGGCAUCUAAUUAGGACUAAAGGUUCAGCGGUAACGGAUGGGGAUGCGUCCGAUUAGCUAGACGGCGGGGUAACGGCCCACCGUGGCGACGAUCGGUAGGGGUUCUGAGAGGAAGGUCCCCCACACUGGAACUGAGACACGGUCCAGACUCCUACGGGAGGCAGCAGUGAGGAAUAUUGGUCAAUGGGCGUAAGCCUGAACCAGCCAAGUAGCGUGAGGGAAGACUGCCCUAUGGGUUGUAAACCUCUUUUGUGCGGGGAUAAAGUGUGGGACGUGUCCCAUAUUGCAGGUACCGCACGAAUAAGGACCGGCUAAUUCCGUGCCAGCAGCCGCGGUAAUACGGAAGGUCCGGGCGUUAUCCGGAUUUAUUGGGUUUAAAGGGAGCGCAGGCCGUCCUUUAAGCGUGCUGUGAAAUGCCGCGGCUCAACCGUGGCACUGCAGCGCGAACUGGAGGACUUGAGUACGCACGAGGUAGGCGGAAUUCGUGGUGUAGCGGUGAAAUGCUUAGAUAUCACGAAGAACUCCGAUUG
Molecule: ribosomal RNA, 694 nt
Filed under: uncultured Bacteroidales bacterium
Lineage: Bacteria; Pseudomonadati; Bacteroidota; Bacteroidia; Bacteroidales
Description: bacterial SSU rRNA
Rfam family: Bacterial small subunit ribosomal RNA
Source: RNAcentral